GGGAUGACGUCAAGUCCUCAUGGCCCUUACGUCCAGGGCUACACACGUGAUACAAUGGCGACUACAAAGGGCAAAGCCGCGAGGUGGAGGAAAUCCCUUAAAAGUCGUCCUAGUCCGGAUCGGAGUCUGCAACUCGACUCCGCGAAGCUGGAAUCGCUAGUAAUCGUAGAUCAGCAUGCUACGGUGAAUAUGUUCCCGGGCCUUGUACACACCGCCCGUCAAGUCAUGGAAGUCGGGAGUACCCGAAGACGCGUAUGCGUUUAAGGUAAGACCGGUAACUGGGACUAAGUCGUAACAAGGUAAAUC
Molecule: ribosomal RNA, 306 nt
Filed under: uncultured bacterium
Lineage: Bacteria
Description: bacterial SSU rRNA
Rfam family: Bacterial small subunit ribosomal RNA
Source: RNAcentral